GGAUGAACGCUGGCGGCGUGCCUAAUACAUGCAAGUCGAACGAGUUCUGAUUAUUGAAAGGUGCUUGCAUCUUGAUUUAAUUUUGAACGAGUGGCGGACGGGUGAGUAACACGUGGGUAACCUGCCCUUAAGUGGGGGAUAACAUUUGGAAACAGAUGCUAAUACCGCAUAAAUCCGAAAACCGCAUGGUUCUUGGCUGAAAGAUGGCGUAAGCUAUCGCUUUUGGAUGGACCCGCGGCGUAUUAGCUAGUUGGUGAGGUAACGGCUCACCAAGGCAAUGAUACGUAGCCGAACUGAGAGGUUGAUCGGCCACAUUGGGACUGAGACACGGCCCAAACUCCUACGGGAGGCAGCAGUAGGGAAUCUUCCACAAUGGACGCAAGUCUGAUGGAGCAACGCCGCGUGAGUGAAGAAGGCUUUCGGGUCGUAAAACUCUGUUGUUGGAGAAGAAUGGUCGGCAGAGUAACUGUUGUCGGCGUGACGGUAUCCAACCAGAAAGCCACGGCUAACUACGUGCCAGCAGCCGCGGUAAUACGUAGGUGGCAAGCGUUAUCCGGAUUUAUUGGGCGUAAAGCGAGCACAGGCGGUUUUUUAAGUCUGAUGUGAAAGCCCUCGGCUUAACCGAGGAAGUGCAUCGGAAACUGGGAAACUUGAGUGCAGAAGAGGACAGUGGAACUCCAUGUGUAGCGGUGAAAUGCGUAGAUAUAUGGAAGAACACCAGUGGCGAAGGCGGCUGUCUGGUCUGUAACUGACGCUGAGGCUCGAAAGCAUGGGUAGCGAACAGGAUUAGAUACCCUGGUAGUCCAUGCCGUAAACGAUGAAUGCUAGGUGUUGGAGGGUUUCCGCCCUUCAGUGCCGCAGCUAACGCAUUAAGCAUUCCGCCUGGGGAGUACGACCGCAAGGUUGAAACUCAAAGGAAUUGACGGGGGCCCGCACAAGCGGUGGAGCAUGUGGUUUAAUUCGAAGCAACGCGAAGAACCUUACCAGGUCUUGACAUCUUUUGAUCACCUGAGAGAUCAGGUUUCCCCUUCGGGGGCAAAAUGACAGGUGGUGCAUGGUUGUCGUCAGCUCGUGUCGUGAGAUGUUGGGUUAAGUCCCGCAACGAGCGCAACCCUUAUGACUAGUUGCCAGCAUUUAGUUGGGCACUCUAGUAAGACUGCCGGUGACAAACCGGAGGAAGGUGGGGAUGACGUCAAAUCAUCAUGCCCCUUAUGACCUGGGCUACACACGUGCUACAAUGGAUGGUACAACGAGUUGCGAGACCGCGAGGUCAAGCUAAUCUCUUAAAGCCAUUCUCAGUUCGGACUGUAGGCUGCAACUCGCCUACACGAAGUCGGAAUCGCUAGUAAUCGCGGAUCAGCACGCCGCGGUGAAUACGUUCCCGGGCCUUGUACACACCGCCCGUCACACCAUGAGAGUUUGUAACACCCGAAGCCGGUGGCGUAACCCUUUUAGGGAGCGAGCCGUCUAAGGUGGGACAAAUGAUUAGGGUG
This 1493-nucleotide ribosomal RNA is filed under the name uncultured organism. RNAcentral's name for it is "SSU rRNA". It matches the Rfam family "Bacterial small subunit ribosomal RNA". The record is from RNAcentral.